Molecule: ribosomal RNA, 468 nt
Filed under: uncultured bacterium
Lineage: Bacteria
Description: partial 16S ribosomal RNA
Rfam family: Bacterial small subunit ribosomal RNA
Source: RNAcentral
GACGAACGCUGGCGGCGUGCUUAACACAUGCAAGUCGAACGGAAAGGCCCUGCUUUUGUGGGGUGCUCGAGUGGCGAACGGGUGAGUAACACGUGAGUAACCUGCCCUUGACUUUGGGGUAACUUCAGGAAACUGGGGCUAAUACCGGAUAGGAGCUCCUGCUGCAUGGUGGGGGUUGGAAAGUUUCGGCGGUUGGGGAUGGACUCGCGGCUUAUCAGCUUGUUGGUGGGGUAGUGGCUUACCAAGGCUUUGACGGGUAGCCGGCCUGAGAGGGUGACCGGCCACAUUGGGACUGAGAUACGGCCCAGACUCCUACGGGAGGCAGCAGUGGGGAAUAUUGCACAAUGGGCGGAAGCCUGAAGCAGCAACGCCGCGUGCGGGAUGACGGCCUUCGGGUUGUAAACCGCUUUCGCCUGUGACGAAGCGUGAGUGACGGUAAUGGGUAAAGAAGCACCGGCUAACUACGUG